GGAAGCACACCCCGCUCUGGUGACGGGCUCGGUCUUCAAAAUCGAUGGUGUCGGCACCCUCGGUGUCGCAUGGCAGGUUCGAUUCCUGUGUGUUUCCG
RNAcentral lists this transfer RNA (98 nucleotides) under Myxococcales bacterium. RNAcentral's name for it is "tRNA-Sec". It matches the Rfam family "Selenocysteine transfer RNA". The record is from RNAcentral. Lineage: Bacteria; Pseudomonadati; Myxococcota; Myxococcia; Myxococcales.